Molecule: ribosomal RNA, 1487 nt
Filed under: uncultured organism
Description: 16S ribosomal RNA
Rfam family: Bacterial small subunit ribosomal RNA
Source: RNAcentral
GUGCCUAAUACAUGCAAGUCGAACGCGUUGGCCCAAUUGAUUGAUGGUGCUUGCACCUGAUUGAUUUUGGUCGCCAACGAGUGGCGGACGGGUGAGUAACACGUAGGUAACCUGCCCAGAAGCGGGGGACAACAUUUGGAAACAGAUGCUAAUACCGCAUAACGACGUUGUUCGCAUGAACAACGCUUAAAAGAUGGCUUCUCGCUAUCACUUCUGGAUGGACCUGCGGUGCAUUAGCUUGUUGGUGGGGUAAUGGCCUACCAAGGCGAUGAUGCAUAGCCGAGUUGAGAGACUGAUCGGCCACAAUGGGACUGAGACACGGCCCAUACUCCUACGGGAGGCAGCAGUAGGGAAUCUUCCACAAUGGGCGCAAGCCUGAUGGAGCAACACCGCGUGAGUGAAGAAGGGUUUCGGCUCGUAAAGCUCUGUUGUUAAAGAAGAACACGUAUGAGAGUAACUGUUCAUACGUUGACGGUAUUUAACCAGAAAGUCACGGCUAACUACGUGCCAGCAGCCGCGGUAAUACGUAAGCGGCAAGCGUUAUCCGGAUUUAUUGGGCGUAAAGAGAGUGCAGGCGGUUUUCUAAGUCUGAUGUGAAAGCCUUCGGCUUAACCGGAGAAGUGCAUCGGAAACUGGAUAACUUGAGUGCAGAAGAGGGUAGUGGAACUCCAUGUGUAGCGGUGGAAUGCGUAGAUAUAUGGAAGAACACCAGUGGCGAAGGCGGCUACCUGGUCUGCAACUGACGCUGAGACUCGAAAGCAUGGGUAGCGAACAGGAUUAGAUACCCUGGUAGUCCAUGCCGUAAACGAUGAGUGCUAGGUGUUGGAGGGUUUCCGCCCUUCAGUGCCGGAGCUAACGCAUUAAGCACUCCGCCUGGGGAGUACGACCGCAAGGUUGAAACUCAAAGGAAUUGACGGGGGCCCGCACAAGCGGUGGAGCAUGUGGUUUAAUCUGAAGCUACGCGAAGAACCUUACCAGGUCUUGACAUCUUGCGCCAACCCUAGAGAUAGGGCGUUUCCUUCGGGAACGCAAUGACAGGUGGUGCAUGGUCGUCGUCAGCUCGUGUCGUGAGAUGUUGGGUUAAGUCCCGCAACGAGCGCAACCCUUGUUACUAGUUGCCAGCAUUAAGUUGGGCACUCUAGUGAGACUGCCGGUGACAAACCGGAGGAAGGUGGGGACGACGUCAGAUCAUCAUGCCCCUUAUGACCUGGGCUACACACGUGCUACAAUGGACGGUACAACGAGUCGCGAACUCGCGAGGGCAAGCAAAUCUCUUAAAACCGUUCUCAGUUCGGACUGCAGGCUGCAACUCGCCUGCACGAAGUCGGAAUCGCUAGUAAUCGCGGAUCAGCAUGCCGCGGUGAAUACGUUCCCGGGCCUUGUACACACCGCCCGUCACACCAUGAGAGUUUGUAACACCCAAAGUCGGUGGGGUAACCUUUUAGGAGCCAGCCGCCUAAGGUGGGACAGAUGAUUAGGGUGAAGUC